GGUGGAGUGGCUAAAUGCAUGGCUCCCAGAGAGGGACAUGCUGGGUUCGAAUCCUGCCUCUACCG
This is a non-coding RNA of Papio anubis (olive baboon), 65 nucleotides long. NCBI's taxonomy places the organism in Eukaryota, Metazoa, Chordata, Mammalia, Primates, Cercopithecidae. The record is from Rfam.